Phthorimaea operculella (potato tuberworm) is the source of this 72-nucleotide non-coding RNA. Lineage: Eukaryota; Metazoa; Arthropoda; Insecta; Lepidoptera; Gelechiidae. The record is from the annotation of a GenBank genome assembly.
GCAUCGAUAGCUCAGUGGCAGAGCGGUGGGGCGUUUACCCAUGCGGCCCGGGUUCGAUCCCCGGUUGAUGCA